UAAACUUGUAAAUUUGCAAAGUUCUUCCGCAAUGUAGAGUUUGUCCUUCGGUUCAAAGCUAUAUCUUUGUUUUGGUGUUGCUGUUUUAAGUCCAUGCUCGUAAGAAGCCAAUGGCUGAAGAUUUGGACUAUAUGGCAGUUGCUAGCAUGACAGAUGGCAUGGUUGGAGCAGAGCUUGCCAAUAUCGUUGAGAUAGCAGCAAUUAAUAUGAUGCGUGAUGGAAGAACAGAGUUAACAACAGAUGAUUUGCUUCAAGCUGCACAAAUAU
Molecule: non-coding RNA, 267 nt
Organism: Camelina sativa (false flax)
Lineage: Eukaryota; Viridiplantae; Streptophyta; Magnoliopsida; Brassicales; Brassicaceae
Source: RefSeq, a predicted model, not a curated record